This 777-nucleotide ribosomal RNA is filed under the name uncultured Neocallimastigales. RNAcentral describes it as "partial large subunit ribosomal RNA". It matches the Rfam family "Eukaryotic large subunit ribosomal RNA", at positions 26 to 627 of the family's 3401-position model. Lineage: Eukaryota; Fungi; Neocallimastigomycota; Neocallimastigomycetes; Neocallimastigales. The record is from RNAcentral.
CGUCUAUAUACGUAUAGCAUAUCAAUAAGCGGAGGAAAAGAAACUAACUAGGAUUCCCUUAGUAACGGCGAGUGAAGCGGGAAGAGCUCAAAUUUGAAAUCUUCAAGGUUCUACCUUGACGAAUUGUAGUUUAAAGAAGUGUUUUCUGUUGGAGUUUUGGUAAAAGUUCUUUGGAAUAGGACAUCAUAGAGGGUGAGAAUCCCGUAUUUGACCAUUAUUUCCAACUUUGUGAUACACUUUCAAAGAGUCGGAUUGUUUAGGAAUGCAGUCCAAAAUGGGUGGUAAAUUUCAUCUAAAGCUAAAUACUGGCGAGAGACCGAUAGCGAACAAGUACCGUGAGGGAAAGAUGAAAAGAACUUUGAAAAGAGAGUUAAACAGUACGUGAAAUUGUCAAAAGGGAAGCGUUUGACACCAGUGUUGUUUUCUCGAAAAUCAAUUAAAAAUGGCAGGAUUUUGUGUUGUAUUGACUUUAUCAGCUUUCUGCACUUUUUUCUUAUCUUUUUUAAUGCACUUUUCGUUUAACAAGUCAACAUCAAUUUCUUUUGCUGUAAAAGGGUCAUUGGAAGGUGGCUUUCUUUUCGGAGAAAGUGUUUAUAGCCUUUGACUUCUGCAGUCGGAGAGAUUGAGGUCUGCAGCGUAGAUCCUUCGGGGUUAGAUGAUACAUUUGUGCUAAGUUAUAGCCUUUCAUAGACAACUUGUUGACUAUGAUCAGUCAUGUAGCUUACUCGCUUAUGUCAUUUUACCUACGCUUAGGAUGUUGACGAUCAGCUGAGCGCG